This 84-nucleotide transfer RNA is filed under the name Echinostoma caproni. It matches the Rfam family "tRNA". From Rfam's summary of the family: Transfer RNA (tRNA) molecules are approximately 80 nucleotides in length. Their secondary structure includes four short double-helical elements and three loops (D, anti-codon, and T loops). Lineage: Eukaryota; Metazoa; Platyhelminthes; Trematoda; Plagiorchiida; Echinostomatidae. The record is from Rfam by way of RNAcentral.
GGUCUUGUAGCUCAGUUGGUAGAGUUUGCGCUGUGCAAAAGCGUAGAUGGCGGCCACGCGUGGGUCCGAUUCCCACCGAGGCCA